This 256-nucleotide ribosomal RNA is filed under the name uncultured bacterium. RNAcentral describes it as "partial small subunit ribosomal RNA". It matches the Rfam family "Bacterial small subunit ribosomal RNA", at positions 26 to 285 of the family's 1533-position model. The record is from RNAcentral.
AGGACGAACGCUGGCGGCGUGCUUAACACAUGCAAGUCGAGCGGUAAGGCCCUUUGGGGUACACGAGCGGCGAACGGGUGAGUAACACGUGAGCAAUCUGCCCUUCACUUUGGGAUAACCUCCGGAAAUGGUGGCUAAUACCGAAUGCGACUGCCGGCUGCAUGGUCUGGUGGUGGAAAGUUUUUGCGGUGGGGGAUGAGCUCGCGGCCUAUCAGCUUGUUGGUGAGGUAAUGGCUCACCAAGGCUUCGACGGGUA